This is a long non-coding RNA of Sitodiplosis mosellana (orange wheat blossom midge), 887 nucleotides long. RefSeq lists it as uncharacterized. The record is from RefSeq and is a predicted model, not a curated record. NCBI's taxonomy places the organism in Eukaryota, Metazoa, Arthropoda, Insecta, Diptera, Cecidomyiidae. The transcript is spliced from 3 exons.
GGCGUUAAAUCAGAGUAUAUUUACAUGCCUUGGGUUGUCGUGGAACUGAUGAGAGAAAUUUUUCAAGACUUCAUUUGUAAUAAUGAAUAAAUUGUAAAAAAAUAAAAAAAAAUACUUAAAGUUUAAGUCUUGAACAUAGAAAAAGAUACACAAAAACAUCAAGCCAAUCAGGUUUUUGAAUGUACUCAGAAACGGUGUUUUUAAAUGUUAUUUUCAAAUCGAUAUGAACCUUACUUGGUUCACAUUACUGACCAAUCGCAAUAUUUUGACGUUUCACAUAUGUCACAAUUAACUAUUAAACACUUGUGUUUUUAUUGUGGUUCAGCUCCAUUGUUUUCCAUAUUUUUGAAAAGCAUUUUUUUUUAGAUAUUUUGAAUUCAAAGAUAUGAGCGGCGGUGGAAACAGGAGAGACACAAAUCUAACUGCAACAGCAGCAGUAGCAACGAUAGCCGCUGGUGUUGCAGCUGGAUAUGCACUUUAUAGAGGAGUCGAAUGGUUGUUAGGUUCAAAUGAAUCACAGGAGAAUCAACCACAUCAAAAUCAUCCGCAUCAACAAAACCAACCAAAUCCAUACAGAGAACAGUUGCGACUGCCCAUGAUCAGACGUCCUCAACCAAUUACGCCUCAUCGAUUUUUGCGAAACCAAGUUAUUCAUGUGGUUAACACAGUCGAACAGUGUCAAUAUUCAAUGAAAGAACUGAAGACGCAUUGCGACGAAUAUAAUGUGCUUGGCUUCGAUUGUGAAUGGAAUUCAGAGCAGGAAAGCGGUCGUCAGUUGCCCUACUUCAAUUGGCAAGUUCUCGUGGUCUGUGUAUUGUCAUUCGUUUAUCGGAAUUGCAACACAUUCCAAAGGAACUAGAGGCAAUUCUAGAAGAUGGUAGCAUUAU